This 914-nucleotide ribosomal RNA is filed under the name uncultured archaeon. Its description in RNAcentral is "bacterial SSU rRNA". It matches the Rfam family "Archaeal small subunit ribosomal RNA", at positions 1 to 922 of the family's 1478-position model. The record is from RNAcentral.
UUCCGGUUGAUCCUGCCGGACCUGACUGCUAUCGGAUUGAUACUAAGCCAUGCGAGUCUUUGUAGUAAUACAAGGCAUACGGCUCAGUAACGCGUAGUCAACCUACCCUAUGGACAAGAAUAAUCUCGGGAAACUGAGCAUAAUUCUUGAUAGAUCAUAAUGCCUGGAAUGGUUUAUGGUUAAAAUGAUUCGUCGCCAUAGGAUGGGACUGCGGCCUAUCAGCUUGUUGGUGAGGUAAUGGCCCACCAAGGCGAUAACAGGUACGGGCUCUGAGAGGAGAAGCCCGGAGAUGGGUACUGAGACAAGGACCCAGGCCCUAUGGGGCGCAGCAGGCGAGAAAACUUUGCAAUGUGCGAAAGCACGACAAGGUUAGUCCGAGUGAUUUCUGCUAAAGAGAUCUUUUGCUAGUUAUAAAACCACUAGUGAAUAAGGGGUGGGCAAGUUCUGGUGUCAGCCGCCGCGGUAAAACCAGCACCUCAAGUGGUCAGGAUGAUUAUUGGGCCUAAAGCAUCCGUAGCCGGCUCUGUAAGUUUUCGGUUAAAUCUAUGCGCUCAACGUAUGGGCUGCCGAAAAUACUGCAGAGAUAGGGAGUGGGAGAGGUAGACGGUACUCGGUAGGAAGGGGUAAAAUCCUUUGAUCUAUCGAUGACCACCUGUGGCGAAGGCGGUCUACCAGAACACGUUCGACGGUGAGGGAUGAAAGCUGGGGGAGCAAACCGGAUUAGAUACCCGGGUAGUCCCAGCCGUAAACGAUGCAGACUCGAUGAUGCAUUGGCAUAUAGCUAGUGCAGUGUCGCAGGGAAGCCGUUAAGUCUGCCGCCUGGGAAGUACGUACGCAAGUAUGAAACUUAAAGGAAUUGGCGGGGGAGCACCACAAGGGGUGAAGCCUGCGGUUCAAUUGGAUUCAACGCCGGA